AAACGACUCUCGGCAACGGAUAUCYSGGCUCUCGCAUCGAUGAAGAACGUAGCGAAAUGCGAUACUUGGUGUGAAUUGCAGAAUCCCGUGAACCAUCGAGUUUUUGAACGCAAGUUGCGCCCGAAGCCAUUAGGUCGAGGGCACGUCUGCCUGGGCGUCUC
This 161-nucleotide ribosomal RNA is filed under the name Stewartia sinensis. RNAcentral's name for it is "5.8S ribosomal RNA". It matches the Rfam family "5.8S ribosomal RNA". From Rfam's summary of the family: 5.8S ribosomal RNA (5.8S rRNA) is a component of the large subunit of the eukaryotic ribosome. It is transcribed by RNA polymerase I as part of the 45S precursor that also contains 18S and 28S rRNA. Lineage: Eukaryota; Viridiplantae; Streptophyta; Magnoliopsida; Ericales; Theaceae. The record is from RNAcentral.